GAGAUAAAAAGCUUUUAUGGCGCAUGAUGACUUGUGUCAUCAUGCACAAUAUGACCAUAUAAGACCGAACGAGGUCAGCCAUAGGACUUUUGGUAUGAGAAUGAGGGAAAGAAAAUUUAUAUAGUCUUGUGAACCCAAGCAGGGUUGACCAUUCUCUUCAGAGAUUGUUUUCCAAGUGCAUCGAUAGAUAGAAGACUCCACAGGGCACGAACAACUUUAUAUGAUGACCUUGUGAAGCACGUGUGGGACCUACAUAGGCGUUGAAUCUCCUCAUGUUUACUUUGAAUGCAUUUCGACCAUUAAUUAUGUGUGAAUUUAAAUUUCCAUAAUUCUGGAUUUCAAAUAAGGAUGAAUCAUACUCCCUCCUUCCUAUUAUGUAGGGUGUCUAUGCUUUCGGUAAGGAAAUUAGCACAUGGCUUCCCGCAAAUAAUUGGCCAUUGUUAGAAACUGUUUCUUCCAUGAUAUCAUUUACAAACAUGGUUGGCUAAUCCACCAUUAGCUAUGGUUAGUUUACUCUGACCAUACAAGAGAG
This 532-nucleotide long non-coding RNA is filed under the name Hordeum vulgare. RNAcentral's name for it is "long non-coding RNA (HVUL_LNC008108)". The record is from RNAcentral. Lineage: Eukaryota; Viridiplantae; Streptophyta; Magnoliopsida; Poales; Poaceae.